AUGUGUGUCAUAUGAGUGAUGUCAAAAUUGGCUGCACCAGCAUGCAGACCUAUGCUGAUGCAUGUGCACAAGAAGGAGUCUGUAUUGAGUGGAGAAAUUAUACAAAUGGACAAUGUGACUUCACAUGCGAGAAACCCAAGGUUUAUAAUGCCUGCGGUCCACAAGUUGAACCAACCUGUAAUGCCUGGUACAAUUUCAAAUUCAUCCAGACUCAAAAUGAGUUCAGUGUCAUGGGAGAUAUACAAUUGGAGGGAUGUUAUUGCCCCAAUGGUACCAU
Long non-coding RNA from Coregonus clupeaformis (lake whitefish), 277 nucleotides. RefSeq lists it as uncharacterized. The transcript is spliced from 3 exons. NCBI's taxonomy places the organism in Eukaryota, Metazoa, Chordata, Actinopteri, Salmoniformes, Salmonidae. The record is from RefSeq and is a predicted model, not a curated record.